This 429-nucleotide ribosomal RNA is filed under the name Chloroflexota bacterium. RNAcentral's name for it is "Chloroflexi bacterium partial 16S ribosomal RNA". It matches the Rfam family "Bacterial small subunit ribosomal RNA", at positions 355 to 776 of the family's 1533-position model. The record is from RNAcentral. Lineage: Bacteria; Bacillati; Chloroflexota.
UAGGGAAUCUUCGGCAAUGGACGAAAGUCUGACCGAGCAACGCCGCGUGAGUGAAGAAGGUUUUCGGAUUGUAAAACUCUGUUGUUAGAGAAGAACAAGGACGUUAGUAACUGAACGUCCCCUGACGGUAUCUAACCAGAAAGCCACGGCUAACUACGUGCCAGCAGCCGCGGUAAUACGUAGGUGGCAAGCGUUGUCCGGAUUUUUUGGGCGUAUAGCGAGCGCAGGCUGUUUCUUAAGUCUGAUGUGAAAGCCCCCGGCUCAACCGGGGAGGGUCAUUGGAAACUGGGAGACUUGGGUGCAGAAGAGGAGAGUGGGAUUCCAUGUGUAGCGAUUAAAUGCGUAGAUAUAUGGAGGAAAACCAGUGGCUAAGGCGGCUAUCUGGUAUGUAACUGACGCUGAGGCUCGAAAGCGUGGGGAGCAAACAGG